RNAcentral lists this ribosomal RNA (865 nucleotides) under uncultured bacterium. Its description in RNAcentral is "bacterial SSU rRNA". It matches the Rfam family "Bacterial small subunit ribosomal RNA", at positions 9 to 864 of the family's 1533-position model. The record is from RNAcentral.
GAGUUUGAUCAUGGCUCAGGAUGAACGCUAGCGGCAGGCUUAACACAUGCAAGUCGAGGGGUAACAGGGAUUGCUUGCAAUCCGCUGACGACCGGCGCACGGGUGCGUAACGCGUAUGCAACCUACCUUUUACAAGGGGAUAGCCCAGAGAAAUUUGGAAUAAUACCCUAUACGAUCAUUAAUUGGCAUCAAUUAAUGAAGAAAACUCCGGUGGUAAAAGAUGGGCAUGCGUCCUAUUAGUUAGUUGGUAAGGUAACGGCUUACCAAGACUCCGAUAGGUAGGGGUCCUGAGAGGGAGAUCCCCCACACUGGUACUGAGACACGGACCAGACUCCUACGGGAGGCAGCAGUGAGGAAUAUUGGACAAUGGAGGCAACUCUGAUCCAGCCAUGCCGCGUGCAGGAAGACGGCCCUACGGGUUGUAAACUGCUUUUAUACAGGAAGAACUAUAUCUACGUGUAGAUAUUUGACGGUACUGUACGAAUAAGGAUCGGCUAACUCCGUGCCAGCAGCCGCGGUAAUACGGAGGAUCCAAGCGUUAUCCGGAAUCAUUGGGUUUAAAGGGUCCGUAGGCGGUCUAAUAAGUCAGAGGUGAAAUCCUACAGCUCAACUGUAGCAUUGCCUUUGAUACUGUUAGACUUGAGUUAUUGUGAAGUAGUUAGAAUGUGUAGUGUAGCGGUGAAAUGCAUAGAUAUUACACAGAAUACCGAUUGCGAAGGCAGAUUACUAACAAUAUACUGACGCUGAGGGACGAAAGCGUGGGUAGCGAACAGGAUUAGAUACCCUGGUAGUCCACGCCGUAAACGAUGGAUACUAGCUGUUCGAUCAACAUUGGUUGGUUGAGUGGCUAAGCGAAAGUGAUAAG